This 417-nucleotide long non-coding RNA is filed under the name Homo sapiens (human). RNAcentral describes it as "HSALNT0001585". The record is from RNAcentral. Lineage: Eukaryota; Metazoa; Chordata; Mammalia; Primates; Hominidae.
AUGAGCCACCACGCCUGGCCUUGUCCAUGUUUCUAUUGCUGCCCCUGCUGACUUCUGAUUUUGACACUCUGGCCACAGAGUAACAUGGCUGCUAACAUCUUACUUCACCUUACCCUUCCUGCCACUUCAGCCAUGAACUAAGGAGGGCCUGCUUGAUCAACACACGUAGGGGCAAGGACUGUGCUUCUCUUCAUGACUUUGUCCUAAGUGUGUGUAUCUAAAAAAAAGUUGCAGGCUGGGUGCGGUGGCUCACGCCUAUAAUCCCAACACUUUGGGAGGCCAAGGUGGGCCGAUUACUUGAAGUCAGGAGUUUAAGACCAGCUUGGGCAACAUGGUGAAACCCCAUCUCUACCAAAAAUACAAAAAUUAGCCAGGCAUGGUGGCACAUGCCUGUAAUCCCAGCUACAAUGGAGGCUG